UCAGAGCGAACGCUGGCGGCAGGCUUAACACAUGCAAGUCGAGCGGGCGUAGCAAUACGUCAGCGGCAGACGGGUGAGUAACGCGUGGGAACGUACCUUUUGGUUCGGAACAACACAGGGAAACUUGUGCUAAUACCGGAUAAGCCCUUACGGGGAAAGAUUUAUCGCCGAAAGAUCGGCCCGCGUCUGAUUAGCUAGUUGGUGAGGUAAUGGCUCACCAAGGCGACGAUCAGUAGCUGGUCUGAGAGGAUGAUCAGCCACAUUGGGACUGAGACACGGCCCAAACUCCUACGGGAGGCAGCAGUGGGGAAUAUUGGACAAUGGGGGCAACCCUGAUCCAGCCAUGCCGCGUGAGUGAUGAAGGCCCUAGGGUUGUAAAGCUCUUUUGUGCGGGAAGAUAAUGACGGUACCGCAAGAAUAAGCCCCGGCUAACUUCGUGCCAGCAGCCGCGGUAAUACGAAGGGGGCUAGCGUUGCUCGGAAUCACUGGGCGUAAAGGGUGCGUAGGCGGGUUUUUAAGUCAGGGGUGAAAUCCUGGAGCUCAACUCCAGAACUGCCUUUGAUACUGAAGAUCUUGAGUCCGGGAGAGGUGAGUGGAACUGCGAGUGUAGAGGUGAAAUUCGUAGAUAUUCGCAAGAACACCAGUGGCGAAGGCGGCUCACUGGCCCGGUACUGAC
RNAcentral lists this ribosomal RNA (676 nucleotides) under Bradyrhizobium sp. L1882. Its description in RNAcentral is "bacterial SSU rRNA". It matches the Rfam family "Bacterial small subunit ribosomal RNA", at positions 24 to 744 of the family's 1533-position model. The record is from RNAcentral. Lineage: Bacteria; Pseudomonadati; Pseudomonadota; Alphaproteobacteria; Hyphomicrobiales; Nitrobacteraceae.